Molecule: long non-coding RNA, 735 nt
Filed under: Marmota monax (woodchuck)
Lineage: Eukaryota; Metazoa; Chordata; Mammalia; Rodentia; Sciuridae
Source: RNAcentral
AAACUAUACAACGUUGAAAAAAGAAAUUGAAGACACAAGAAGAUGGAAAGACCUCCCAUGUUCAUGGAUAGGCAGAAUUAAUAUCAUUUAAAAGACCAUACUACCAAAAGCAACAUACAGAUUCAAUGCAAUCCCCACCAAAACUAGAAAAAACAGUCCUAAAAUUCAUUUAUAUGACUAAAAGACUCAGAUUAUUCCAAAUAAUGUUAAGCCAAAAAAGCAAUGCUGGAGAGGCAUCACAAUACCUGACUUCAAAUUAUGCUACAGAGCUAUUGUAACAAAAAUUGCUUUAGUGGUAUAAAAACAGACACAUAAACCUAUGGUACAAAAUAGAAGACACAGAGACAGACCCAUAUAUCUACAAUCAUCUGAUCCUUGACAAAAGUGCCCAAAACAUACAUUUGAGAAAAGAUAGCUUUUAAACAAAUGGUGCUGGGAAUCCUGGUUAUCCAUUGGUUAUCACUCUGCAGAAAAGUCAACUUGAAAUGAAUAAAAAACCUAGGAAUUAAACCAGAAACCAUGCAACUCCUGGAAGAAAACAUAGGGUCAACCUUUCAAUAUAUAGGUGUAGGCAACAGUUUUCUCAAUAGAACCCCUAAAGCUCAGGAAAUAGUGGUAAGAGUUAAUAAAUAGGAUGGCAUCAAAUUUUAAAAGCCUCUGCACAGUAAAACAAGAAUUUGAUGUGAACAAAAACCUACACAAUGGGGAAAAAAAAAAUCUUUGUUAGCUUCUUUG